AGUGAACGCUGGCGGUAGGCCUAACACAUGCAAGUCGAACGGCAGCACAGUAAGAGCUUGCUCUUACGGGUGGCGAGUGGCGGACGGGUGAGGAAUACAUCGGAAUCUACUUUUUCGUCGGGGAUAACGUAGGGAAACUUACGCUAAUACCGCAUACGACCUACGGGUGAAAGCAGGGGAUCUUCGGACCUUGCGCGAUUGAAUGAGCCGAUGUCGGAUUAGCUAGUUGGCGGGGUAAAGGCCCGCCAAGGCGACGAUCCGUAGCUGGUCUGAGAGGAUGAUCAGCCACACUGGAACUGAGACACGGUCCAGACUCCUACGGGAGGCAGCAGUGGGGAAUAUUGGACAAUGGGCGCAAGCCUGAUCCAGCCAUACCGCGUGGGUGAAGAAGGCCUUCGGGUUGUAAAGCCCUUUUGUUGGGAAAGAAAAGCAGCAGGUUAAUACCCCGCUGUUCUGACGGUACCCAAAGAAUAAGCACCGGCUAACUUCGUG
Molecule: ribosomal RNA, 492 nt
Filed under: uncultured bacterium
Lineage: Bacteria
Description: partial 16S ribosomal RNA
Rfam family: Bacterial small subunit ribosomal RNA
Source: RNAcentral